AUGAGCAGCCUGGAAGAAGCACUGCUGCAGAAGCCGCCCCCGUCGGUGGUUGUGUGCCACCACGCCGCCGCGGCCUGCCACCAUGAGGGGUGCCCCGGGUGCGCCAUGGACCGGAGGAAGGAGAGCCUCCGCGGGAGGAUCCCUUACAAGGAGCUUUUCUUCGUCGCUGCCACCACUCUCGCUGGAUCUCUACCAAUCACGUGCCUCUUCCCCUUCAUGUAUUUCAUGGUUAGAGACUUCAACAUUGCUAAAAGAGAGGAAGAUAUUGGAUCCUAUGCUGGUUUUCUUGCUGCUUCAUACAUGAUUGGAAGAGCCAUUACCUCGAUAUUUUGGGGUAUUGCCGCAGAUCGUCUCGGACGAAAGCCUGUAAUUGUAUUUUCAAUGCUAUCUGUGGUCAUACUUCAGAUAUUCUUCGGGCUAAGUACAAAAUAUUGGAUGGCGAUUGCUGCAAGACUUCUCCUAGGUUCUCUAAAUGGAUUACUUGGACCAAUUAAGGCUUAUGCCAUUGAAGUUUGUCAAACUGAACACCAAGCUCUUGGCAUCUCAGUUGUGAAUACCGUGUGGGGCUUGGGUGUUGUUAUUGGUCCAGGUCUUGGUGGCUACCUUGCCCACCCUGCUGAAAAAUAUCCAGAGACAUUUUCCAAAGAGUCAGUUUUCGGGAGGUUCCCAUAUCUUUUACCUUGUCUCACUGUGUCAAUCUUUGCUGCCAUUGUUCUAAUAAGUUGUAUAUGGCUUCUGGAGACUAUACAUAAACAUAAGAUUACUGAAAAGGAUGUCAGAAUAGUCAAAGCCUUGCCAUCGCAACAGGCACAUUGGGAUAUGCCUCGUAAGAAGAGUUUGCUUCAGAACUGGCCAUGGAUGUCAACUAUGCUAUCAUAUUGUUUGUUUGGUCUUCAUGAAACGGCAUAUAGUGAGAUACUUUCCAUAUGGGCUGUGAGUGACAGAAAGUAUGGCGGCCUUAGCUUCUCAUCUGGAGAUAUUGGUCAGGUUCUUUCUGUGUCAGGUGCUAGUCUUCUUGUAUAUCAGCUUAUAAUUUAUCAUUGGGUUAAUAAAUUUCUCGGGCCACUCAAUUCAUCGCGCAUUGCUUCCUCUCUAUCUAUUCUUGUACUCGCUACGUUCCCCUUUAUGACAUAUCUAUCGGGAACAAAACUGUCUUUCGCUCUUUACGCUGCAGCCAUGACGAAAAGUGUUCUCGGAAUUACUAUCAGUUGUGGAAUGUGCCUUCUUCAGAACAAUGCAGUGCGUCAAGACCAGAGAGGCACUGCAAAUGGUAUAGCGACAACCGGCAUGUCGUUUUUCAAGGCAGUUGCUCCAGUAGGGGCAGGAAUUCUAUUCUCAUGGGCGCAAAAACGUCACGAUGCCACCUUCUUCCCAGGUGAUCAAGUGGUAUUCUUGAUGCUGGUUGUGGUGCAGCUCUGUGGACUGAUAUCUACCUUCGAGCCAUUCCUGGUCUUGCCUCCAGUAGAAGAAUGUCGGUAG
RNAcentral lists this ribosomal RNA (1479 nucleotides) under Triticum aestivum (bread wheat). RNAcentral describes it as "partial small subunit ribosomal RNA". The record is from RNAcentral. Lineage: Eukaryota; Viridiplantae; Streptophyta; Magnoliopsida; Poales; Poaceae.